This 854-nucleotide ribosomal RNA is filed under the name uncultured Verrucomicrobiae bacterium. RNAcentral's name for it is "bacterial SSU rRNA". It matches the Rfam family "Bacterial small subunit ribosomal RNA", at positions 66 to 902 of the family's 1533-position model. Lineage: Bacteria; Pseudomonadati; Verrucomicrobiota; Verrucomicrobiia. The record is from RNAcentral.
AAUUUUUUUGGUAGCAAUACCGAAAAAAUUUCAGUGGCGAACGGGUGCGUAACACGUGGGCAAUCUGCCGAGAAGUGGGGGAUAGCUCGCCGAAAGGCGAAUUAAUACCGCAUGUGAUGAGGGGAGACAUCUUCCCGAAAUCAAAGGUGGCGCAAGCUACCGCUUUUUGAGGAGCCCGCGGCCUAUCAGCUUGUUGGUGAGGUAACGGCUCACCAAGGCGUUGACGGGUAGCUGGUCUGAGAGGACGACCAGUCACACUGGGACUGAGACACGGCCCAGACACCUACGGGUGGCAGCAGUCGAGAAUUUUUCUCAAUGGGGGAAACCCUGAAGGAGCGACGCCGCGUGGAGGAUGAAGGUCUUCGGGUUGUAAACUCCUGUCAUUUGGGAACAAGGCUGCGCAGUUAACUGCUGCGUAGUUGAUAGUACCAGAAGAGGAAGAGACGGCUAACUCUGUGCCAGCAGCCGCGGUAAUACAGAGGUCUCAAGCGUUGUUCGGAUUCAUUGGGCGUAAAGGGUGCGUAGGUGGCGCGGUAAGUCGGGUGUGAAAUUUCGGAGCUUAACUCCGAAACUGCAUUCGAUACUGCCGUGCUUGGGGACUGGAGAGGAGACUGGAAUUUACGGUGUAGCAGUGAAAUGCGUAGAGAUCGUAAGGAAGACCAGUGGCGAAGGCGGGUCUCUGGACAGUUCCUGACACUGAGGCACGAAGGCCAGGGGAGCAAACGGGAUUAGAUACCCCGGUAGUCCUGGCAGUAAACGGUGCACGUUUGGUGUGGGAGGAUUCGACCCCUUCUGCGCCGGAGCUAACGCGUUAAACGUGCCGCCUGGGGAGUACGGUCGCAAGAUUAAAACUC